This 2062-nucleotide long non-coding RNA is filed under the name Helianthus annuus (common sunflower). Its description in RNAcentral is "hypothetical non coding rna". Lineage: Eukaryota; Viridiplantae; Streptophyta; Magnoliopsida; Asterales; Asteraceae. The record is from RNAcentral.
AUCAAAAUCAAGAUCAGGGCCCCUAAAACUUAGGAGGGGGAUAUUCCCACUUGAUAAUUAUCUUUAUAUCUCGUUGUCAAAAUUCGAAUUUAAUAUUCCGUCGACUCAUCAAGCCUACACACAUACGUGGCAAGCCUAUAGUGAAAAGGUGUCCCUUACGGACCGUAAGGGAUAAGGCUUACGGUCCGUAAGCCAGUCAAAUUUCGUGUAUAAAUAGCAGGCAUCGGCACUUGCAGUCUGCUGUUCAUUCGACGAUUAAAUUCCGAUUAUACACCGAGUUAUCGUCUAAAUACUCUAAAAACACACACGCGAAUCACUAAUUAGUAUAGCAGGGUGCUGCUACGAUACAGGGUAUUAACUCGAUCGCUAUUACGAUUCAUUUUCCGACCGAUCAAUAUAUCCAAUGGAUGUUUAAGUGCCACCCACAUUAGGGUUAUACUUUGUCGUUCGUCGUUAAUUCGAUGGAUGUUUAAGUAUCGUACUUUGUCGUUCGUCGUUAAAUCGAUGGAUGUUUAAGUAUCGCACUUUGUCGUUCGUUGUGAGAAUUUGAUCUCGUGAGUUAUCGUAAUUGUUGUAUUAAGUGACCUACCUAGUUCGUGUGCACUAGGUUACAAGGCUAAAUCAAUAGGCUAAGCUCUGCCUGUAUAAAUCUGCAAUAUAUCAAGGCUUAUCUGUAGACUAAACUUUGGCCGUAUGAAUCUGCAUGAUUAUAAUGUAAUUACAGUAGAUUGGAGUAAGGAUUGGAUCCGGCACUAUAAGACUUCAAGAAGUGGCUUAUUUUAUUAAGUAAAUCAAAUUAAGAAAUAUUAUUUUUAUUAAAAGCUACCUUUGUAAAACAUGGAAUUUAUUUCAUCUAUUUAAAUAAAAUCCGGUGUUUCUAAACUCUGAUAAUUUCCUAACUCACGGUCCUGAUGAAAUUUCCGCUGCAAUGUUUUUUUUUAAAAUAAUCACCGGUACCACUAGACUGCUCGCGGCUUCCGAUUCCGGCUAGGAUGGGGUCGGGGGUCGUGACAAUAUGUGUUCCUAAGAGUUAGUCAGAUGCUUAAGCGUACCCCAUUACCCUUAAAACACCAAACCUGUUGUAGAACUAGCUAAUGGUAAAAGUCUUGAGGGUGCAGACAUAGUUAAGGGUUGUAACCUCGCUUUAACUGGUCAGACCUUCUCUAUCGACUCUAUCCCCUUCAUACUUGGUAGCUUCGACGUCGUUAUCGGGAUGGAUUGGUUGACUCAUCAUCGAAUAGAGAUUCUUUGUAAGGAGAAAUAGUCCGCAUUCCUCAUUCUGGUGAAGAACCUCUUAUUAUUUGUAGCAACAAGAGUAGCGCUGUGGUGAACAUCAUCUUUUUCCUUAAGGCCCAUAAGUGCUUACGAAAGGGCCACACUGUCAUCCUAGCUCUUGCUACUGACACCUCGACGAAAAGAAAAGGGGAUAGAAGAUACCCCGAUUGUACACGACUUUCCUGAAGUAUUCCCUGAGGAAUCACCUGGCCUUCCGCCUCAUCGUCAGGUCGAAUUUCAAAUCGAGCUAGCUCCUGGAGCAGCACCAAUAGCUCGUGUCCGCUCAGCUUCAGGAACUUUUGGGCAAGGGUUUCAUUCAUCCUAGCUCUUUGCCUUGGGAAGCUCCAGCGUUGUUCGUAAAGAAAAAGGACGGUGCCUUCCGCAUGUGCAUUGAUUACCACGAACUCAACAAGGUGACCGUGAAGAAUCGCUACUCUCUCCCUCAUAUUGACAACCAGUUCGACCAGUUGCAAGGGAGACAUUUGUGAUUUUGGAACUUCUUCGUAAAGGACAGCUUACGCUAAGAUCUCGAAAUGUGACUUUUGGCUUCGUGAAGUCCAUUUCCUAGACCACGUGGUUAAUAAGGAUGGGAUUCAUGUUGAUCCAUCCAAGGUUGACUCAAUCAAGAACUGGGCUGCAAAUCUUGGGAUUUGUAUGUAACGCUCCGCGUUUUUCAUAACUUUCCAUACUUAGAAGCCGUUGUUCAUAUUCCUAUUUUUGGAAACUUUGUGACCUUGUAUUCGAUGUUUCGUUGUAAUUGUCGAAUAAUCUUUAUCUUUAAUCUAUU